GGGUGAUCAGAGUUCUGCUGUGAAAGGUGCUGGAGAUCAGAGGCUUUGAAGACAUACAGCAGGUGGCUUGCAAGCCAGAGUGGAAGGAAUCAAAGAAACAGGCCUUCUGCUCUAUUCCAGAAGAGCAGCAGGUUUGACUGAAGCCUCAGCACCACUGGGACCUUAGAGGCCUCUCUCUCUGUAAGAGGAGCACAGGACCACUCAACUCAUCAUACCAGACAUGCAGAAUCAGGAGCACAGUCUGGUACCAUCCAUCUUGUCACAUUCCAUGUUGGGGUCCAACACCAAGGCCUUCUGUUGUCAGUAACAAGGAUUCAUCCUGCUGUGACUAUGUGGUGUGGCAGGGAAUCUCUGUUACUGGGGGCAGGGUGCCACCUUGGACAUGGCCACUGCACAGAUAGGAGACAUACAGGGUACUGGAGAUGCUCACAAAGCAUGGCCAUCCAGUAUCCGGAGCAUCUGCUAGGCUUUGAAUCAUCCUGAAAGCUCAGGCAUUGCAGUGUGUAGACUGUACCUCCUGUACAUUUAAUCACUUUUCCCGGGCACUUGCUGAGUGUUGUACUGCUAUGCAUUAUAACUGGUCCUUUUGAUAUGUUUCCUCUGCUGUAUUUCCAUUUGCCCUUUGCUUGUUGACUUUUGUUCAUACUGUAGCCCACACUGAAACUGCAAUCUGUAUUGUCUGACAUUAUUGUACAAUGGAAACUGCUGCAGUUUUAUUGAACGUAGUCCAAUACAUCAGAAAAACAAA
Long non-coding RNA from Lepisosteus oculatus (spotted gar), 748 nucleotides. RefSeq lists it as uncharacterized. Lineage: Eukaryota; Metazoa; Chordata; Actinopteri; Semionotiformes; Lepisosteidae. The record is from RefSeq and is a predicted model, not a curated record.